This 663-nucleotide long non-coding RNA is filed under the name Amborella trichopoda. Its description in RNAcentral is "long non-coding RNA (ATRI_LNC001769)". The record is from RNAcentral. Lineage: Eukaryota; Viridiplantae; Streptophyta; Magnoliopsida; Amborellales; Amborellaceae.
AUCUCUCCUUACCAUUCUUUGUUAGUGAUCCAAAAGCUUCAGGCCUUAUGAGAGAGCACCAUUUUUACUCACUCUCUCUCCCCCUUGCCCACUCCAUCCCUCUCUCUCUCUCUCUCUGAGCCUUGCCCUCCCUGAUCUUCUCUCUCUCCAUUUUUCACAAGAUUAAGACGUUGUUGAUGUUCUGCUGUUUGGAGGUCUCCUGCAAUUGUUGGUUUUCUUAUUUUUCACAAGAUAAGGGGGUGAGAGUGGAAGAUAUGAUGCUAAAAUGAGAGAUGGUCAUGAUACCUAAUGGAGCCCCCGGUUAGUAUAUGAGCAUUUUGGAUCUUUUCAUAAAGCAAAUUUUGUUUUUGGUUGCUAUUGCUCUUGCCAUAGAACCCUAUAGAACAACUGACUUUUUCAUUUGAAACAUAUAACCACUAAAUCAAUUUAUUGUUUGAUGCAUUGUACCCACUUCAAUUAUUGACUUGUUUGUAAAACUUGGUGAGAAACGAUACGUUUGAAAAGUGUUCAAUAAAAUUUCCAAUAGAGCACUAAUGGAUAAGCACUUCUAUAAAAAAAAGAAAAAGAAAAAAAAACUAUGUUGAUUAAUCGUGAAAACAUCCUAGAUUCUUAAGAAAAGAAAAAAAAGGGCAAAAAUUUCCUUGUUUGGGUUUUAUAUAUUAC